Molecule: long non-coding RNA, 3489 nt
Organism: Epinephelus moara (kelp grouper)
Lineage: Eukaryota; Metazoa; Chordata; Actinopteri; Perciformes; Serranidae
Exons: 9
Source: RefSeq, a predicted model, not a curated record
UCUUCAUCAGAUCCGGGUUGUUGCCACUCGAUAUUCUUGCACAUUUUUCCACAAUUAUAAUUUAAAGUUUGUUUAAUAUUCAGGCAAACACUGCAGUCUACUAUAACAUUUUGACCAAUAGAACGCUAAGAUUUCGAGGGAGGGCCGUCGUUAGCCUAUCGGAUUUAGCUACUGAGCACAGCUGUUCAACGGAGGAAUCGGCAGAUGGACACGACGGAGAGAAGAGUCAUCACACACACCACUGCCUACUCAAAGGAUGAAGCCAUAUGGGCCUAGUCUUCUUCAAAAGGCCCAUUAUCACAAUUUGUGCAUUGACACAGGUUUGUACAUGGCAGCUCAUGCAGUUUACAUGUGCAUCUGCCCUUAACACAGUUGGUUUUUUUACAGGCACAAUGCACAAGCUCCAGUAUCGCCUCUGGUGCUGGGGGGAGUGUCAUCCAUUCCACCUCAUACAAAUCUCUUGCCAUCUUCCAGCCAUGACUUAUGGGAGGAGGAAUGUCUGGCCUACACUCAAGGCUCCUCCUGUGUAUUGCUGCCUGAAAGUUUGCCCGCUUGAUGUGUUGGUACAAGGAGUCUUUGUUUGGAGAGCACUCACAGUGUCGCAACCAGAGAAGGCAUGCAGACCAACAAGGGCUUCACAUUUGUCUUUGCCAAGAUGGGCAUGAAGGCUGUUAAUGUCAACAAUGUGUGGGUUUCUCUCUUUGGCUGUGUGGAAGUACAGGUGACCAUCAAUGUGGCUGCAGAAUGCAAGUGCCAACACAAAGACAUCAGUGUCCGGGCUCUUGAUCACCAGGUCAGUGCUGUAUUUUGCUGCACAAACUGCAUGCAGCAUAAGUCUGGUGUCUGCUUCCUCUUGAGUUGUCUCAAGGUCUCGAACCUCUGUUACUUCAAGAUGUGCUCCAGUGUUGGAAGAAAUACUCCAGCAAGUUUUCUUUAUUUUGCCCACAUGCCAGGAAUUUUUUCCACUGCUUUGGUGUUUUUUGGUCAUCUCCAUAUAUUUUGAUUUUUUGACAACCCUCUUCUGCCCUCCUACUUCGCUCAGCAUUUUUGAUGCUUUGGAUUCUGUAUGUGUCGCAUACAAAAUGAAGCUCUGUGGACUUGGUUCCUUUAGCUGAGUUAACUAAUGUCCUCAGUACAUGGUCAGCAUAUAGGCCAAAUGUUGGUUGUGGCUUUAGCUGUUGCACUAGUGCCAUAGCAUCCCAAAUCCAAACUGAACCAUCUGGAAUGUUCUUCUCUGAUGCAGGUGGUCUGAUCUCCUCCUCCAAGAUGUGCAUCAGCUUGGCUUUGUUGGUUUUUACCAGAGAGCCAUCAAAGUUGGCCAGUGACUGUGGCAAAGGACCCAGACUGUAAGUGAGCAUUUCAUCUAUGUUAAUUUGUCUAACAUUGCCCACAACAAUUAACCUGGCAAACAAGUUGCGGUGAGAUGUCAAAGUGAUUUCUUUUCCUCUAACUUUUGUGACUGUACUGUGGCCAGUGUCUUUGAAUGUUUUGAUUUUCAUUUUCUUGAUCGGGUCGUGGAAUGAUGCCUCUGCCUUGACAAUCCUUUUUUCACAGAAGUCUGUGAGAGCCUUAACACCACUUUGUUUUGCCCCCAGUAAGUCUUCAGCAACAUUAUCGGAUGCCUGUUGACCAGAGGAGAUUUGAUAAAGAGACUGUCCAUUCAGCGAAGGGUCGAAGGGAUUGACCAUAUUUUGGAUAGUGGUGAUAAUAUUCAACACAUCAGCCUCAUCUCUCUGCAGUCUCGUGGUGUCCAGCUCAGAGUUUAGAUGCAAUACUGGGCACUGUCCAGCCAUUGAUUUACAUUCAAGUGUGAUGGCUGCCCGCUCAUGUUGUGUUAAGGUCCAUCUGUGAACUGCACCCUUGUUUAGAGAGAACCCACUGAUGCCUCCCUUUGUCUUUGAAUCGCGAUUGGCUGUUUGUUCAAUGACUUGAUCACAUGCAGUGCCGGCAAAACCAUGUUUCUGAUGCCUUUGUGCCACAAAGUCACCUGAAAGAAGCUGCUGGUGUGCUGAAGGAUGUGUGUCUUCCAGAUUGGUCAUCUCAACCCAAUAUGCUGUGAGAUAUCUGGCAUAAUUGACUUUAUCACAUGCAAAAAACCAUGGCAGCAUACACUGCACAGUUGACAAAUGGAGAGCCCAGUUUCCCUCUCGGGUUGCCCUGAUGAAGAGAAGCAAGUUUUCCACCAUUUCAAUGUAUGUGCUCCAAAAUGUGAAGGUCUGGUUGGAGUUGUUUUUUUCCACAAAAACUUCGUAGCUUUUCAGCAACUGCAGAAAUACAUCAGAUGUAAGCAUGGCAUUGAACUCUUCACUUGGAAAGGUCUUUUGCAAAUCCGUUGCAACUUUUAAAGCUGCUGCAUGGUCCUCUUGUGUGAGAGUGCCCAGGUAUGCCUGCCAGCGCAAUCUCUGCAGUGCUUCCAUCAGGAGCUUGUGGGCCCGUAUGCUCCUGUUGUAGUGAUGGCCUGAGAGAACUCCAUCAAUAGAACCUGCAGCCACAACUUCAGAUUCAAUCAAGACAUCCUGUAAGCCUGCAUCAGCAAAAAGCUUCCCAAUACAGGAAAGAUAUGCCAUAGCUGUGUGAAACUCUCCCAUCCUUAUUACAAGUCUCUCUGAGAAAGUGCUUGUCUGCCAACGUAUCUCUUGGGCCUUAGCAUAUAUGGCUUGAUCCAUAACUAUCACUAUUUCUUUUUGUUUCAGAUUGUCAGCAAUAGCAGUAGAGCGGCUCAGGAUGGUGUGGACAGUGUUGAGAUCUGUUGGGCUAGCAUCAAUGACAGGUGAGCAAGGGCUGUAUCAUGCUCAAGAACCUGGGAGUUAGAUGAGCAGUGGCCAAGACCAUUCAACAACCCUAUGAGCUGUGCUGAGCCUGUCAUAUGCCGAACUGCCAUUGCAAGAGAGCACUGUUUUGGCAUGAGCCACCGUCCUUUGGUCGCCAAGAUGAUGUCCCUCAGGGUGACCGCUGCAUGAUAUAAAAGACGAGACCUAUCUGUCGUGAUGGUGGCAUUAUCAGGCUGUCUUUGAGUCAUCAGUGAUGUUUCUCCUUCACUGUCUUCAGAUGAGGAGGAAGAGGAGGAAGUGGCAACUUCAUGAAUGAUCUCCUCAGCUGUCAGAUCAUCAACAUACACAAGAUAUGUUGUAGAUGCCUUUUGAAAUCUCAAGAAAGGAUGUGACUUUUGAAGUCUUGCCUUGAGUACCGUGUGUAGUCUCUGAAACAGGAGAAGUGGUAUCGUGCCUCACUAGCCACUAGGUCCCUGUCACGAAUGUGUAGAAGCAGACUCUCAUCCUGUCUUUCUUCAGCAGCAAGAAGUAACUUCCCUGCAUGUUAACUGCAGCUAGAUGGGCAAAUGACUCCCUCCUGUGAUGGAAUCAAGUGGAUUCAGCGUUCAAGAUUCAGAUUUGAAGUUCAAGAUCCACAUUUACAGUUUCACACUGCAUGUUUGAUACCAACCUUCUGUUCCCUUUUCCUUUUGAAUUAAAGCUUCCUUUUCUCUUCUCU